RNAcentral lists this transfer RNA (71 nucleotides) under Arge similis. Its description in RNAcentral is "tRNA-Gly". The record is from RNAcentral. Lineage: Eukaryota; Metazoa; Arthropoda; Insecta; Hymenoptera; Argidae.
AAUUAUAUAAUAUAUAUAUAUAUCAGUAUAUUUGACUUCCAAUCAAAAAGUCUAAAAUUUUAGUAUAAUUA